UGAAUACGAGACGCUACGGCGUCGAAGCAGUCUAUGUCAUACUUCCAAGAAAAGCUUGCACUGUCAUAAACAAAUAAUGCCUGUACCAUAACCGACACAGGUGGGUAGGUAGAGUAUACUAAGGGGCGCGAGAUAACUCUCUCUAAGGAACUCGGCAAAAUGACUCCGUAACUUCGGGAGAAGGAGUGCCUUAUUUAUAAGGUUGCAAUAACAAGAUCCAAGCAACUGUUUAUCAAAAGCACAGGUCUCCGCUAAGUCGUAAGACGAUGUAUGGGGGCUGACGCCUGCCCAGUGCCAGAAGGUUAAAGAAGUUGGUUAGCAUUAGCGAAGCUGAUAACUGAAGCCCUGGUGAACGGCGGCCGUAACUAUAACGGUCCUAAGGUAGCGAAAUUCCUUGUCGGGUAAGUUCCGACCCGCACGAAAGGCGUAAUGAUUUGGAUACUGUCUCGGAGAGGGGCUCGGUGAAAUAGACUUGUCUGUGAAGAUGCGGACUACCUGCACCUGGACAGAAAGACCCUAUGAAGCUUUACUGUAACCUGAAAUUGAAAUUGGACUUUAUUUGCGCAGUAUAGGUGGGAGGCGUUGAGAAUAUUCUUGCGGGAAUAUUGGAGCCAUCAGUGAGAUACCACUCUUGUAAUGUUAGAUUUCUAACUUUGAAUCAUUAUCUGGUCAAAGAACAGUUUCAGGCGGGCAGUUUGACUGGGGCGGUCGCCUCCUAAAUGGUAACGGAGGCGCACAAAGGUUUCCUCUGAACGGGUAGAAAUCGUAUCUAGAGUGUAAAGGCAUAAGGAAGCUUGACUGUGAGACCUACAAGUCGAGCAGGGACGAAAGUCGGUCUUAGUGAUCUGACGGUGCUGAGUGGAAAGGCCGUCACUCAACGGAUAAAAGUUACUCUAGGAUAACAGGCUGAUCUCCCCCAAGAGUUCACAUCGACGGGGAGGUUUGGCACCUCGAUGUCGGCUCAUCGCAUCCUGGGGCGGUAGUACGUCCCAAGGGUUGGGCUGUUCGCCCAUGAAAGCGGUACGCGAGCUGGGUUCAGAACGUCGUGAGACAGUUCGGUCCAUAUCCGGUGUAGGCGUUAGAAUAUUGAGAGGAGCCUUCUUUAGUACGAGAGGACCGAGAAGGACAUACCUCUGGUGUACCAGUUAUCGUGCCAACGGUAAACGCUGGGUAGCUAUGUAUGGAGAGGAUAACCGCUGAAAGCAUCUAAGUGGGAAGCCCACCUCAAGAUAAGUAUUCUC
This 1241-nucleotide ribosomal RNA is filed under the name metagenome. Its description in RNAcentral is "bacterial LSU rRNA". It matches the Rfam family "Bacterial large subunit ribosomal RNA", at positions 1564 to 2815 of the family's 2925-position model. The record is from RNAcentral.